This 449-nucleotide ribosomal RNA is filed under the name uncultured organism. RNAcentral's name for it is "partial 16S ribosomal RNA". It matches the Rfam family "Bacterial small subunit ribosomal RNA", at positions 335 to 798 of the family's 1533-position model. The record is from RNAcentral.
ACUCCUGCGGGAGGCAGCAGUGGGGAAUUUUACGCAAUGGGGGAAACCCUGACGUAGCGACACCGCGUGAGCGAAGAAGCCCUUUGGGGUGUAAAGCUCUGUCAGCUGGAACGAAAACAAUGACGGUACCAGCAGAGGAAGCAUCGGCUAACUACGUGCCAGCAGCCGCGGUAAGACGUAGGAUGCGAGCGUUGUCCGGAUUUAUUGAGCGUAAAGAGUUCGUAGGUGGUUUGUUAAGUUUGGUGUUAAAGAUCGGGGCUCAACCCUGGGACUGCACUGAAUACUGGCAGACUCGAGUGUGGUAGAGGCUAGUGGAAUUCCCAGUGUAGCGGUGAAAUGCGUAGAUAUUGGGAAGAACACCGGUGGCGUAGGCGACUAGCUGGGCCAUAACUGACGCUGAGGAACGAAAGCCAGGGGAGCGAAUGGGAUUAGAUACCCCAGUAGUCCCA